GGGGAAUAUUGGACAAUGGGCGCAAGCCUGAUCCAGCCAUGCCGCGUGGGUGAAGAAGGCCUUCGGGUUGUAAAGCCCUUUUGUUGGGAAAGAAAAGCAGCCGGCCAAUACCCGGUUGUUCUGACGGUACCCAAAGAAUAAGCACCGGCUAACUUCGUGCCAGCAGCCGCGGUAAUACGAAGGGUGCAAGCGUUACUCGGAAUUACUGGCGUAAAGCGUGCGUAGGUGGUGGUUUAAGUCCGUUGUGAAAGCCCUGGGCUCAACCUGGGAACUGCAGUGGAUACUGGAUCACUAGAGUGUGGCAGAGGGUAGUGGAAUUCCCGGUGUAGCAGUGAAAUGCGUAGAGAUCGGGAGGAACAUCAGUGGCGAAGGCAGGUUACCAAGAUAUAACUGACGCUGAGGGACGAAAGCGUGGGGAGCGAACA
This 425-nucleotide ribosomal RNA is filed under the name uncultured Lysobacteraceae bacterium. Its description in RNAcentral is "bacterial SSU rRNA". It matches the Rfam family "Bacterial small subunit ribosomal RNA", at positions 356 to 774 of the family's 1533-position model. The record is from RNAcentral. Lineage: Bacteria; Pseudomonadati; Pseudomonadota; Gammaproteobacteria; Lysobacterales; Lysobacteraceae.